AUUGAACGCUGGCGGCAUGCCUUGCACAUGCAAGUCGAACGGCAGCACGGGAGCAAUCCUGGUGGCGAGUGGCGAACGGGUGAGUAAAGUAUCGGAACGUGCCCAGUCGUGGGGGAUAACGUAGCGUAAGUUACGCUAAUACCGCAUACGAUCUAUGGAUGAAAGCGGGGGAUCGCAAGACCUCGCGCGAUUGGAGCGGCCGAUAUCAGAUUAGGUAGUUGGUGGGGUAAAGGCUCACCAAGCCGACGAUCUGUAGCUGGUCUGAGAGGACGACCAGCCACACUGGGACUGAGACACGGCCCAGACUCCUACGGGAGGCAGCAGUGGGGAAUUUUGGACAAUGGGCGAAAGCCUGAUCCAGCCAUGCCGCGUGCAGGAAGAAGGCCUUCGGGUUGUAAACUGCUUUUGUACGGAACGAAAAGGUUUGGCCUAAUAAGCUGAGCUCAUGACGGUACCGUAAGAAUAAGCACCGGCUAACUACGUGCCAGCAGCCGCCGUAA
RNAcentral lists this ribosomal RNA (500 nucleotides) under uncultured bacterium. Its description in RNAcentral is "partial 16S ribosomal RNA". It matches the Rfam family "Bacterial small subunit ribosomal RNA", at positions 30 to 523 of the family's 1533-position model. The record is from RNAcentral.